Molecule: long non-coding RNA, 638 nt
Filed under: Jatropha curcas
Lineage: Eukaryota; Viridiplantae; Streptophyta; Magnoliopsida; Malpighiales; Euphorbiaceae
Description: long non-coding RNA (JCUR_LNC000921)
Source: RNAcentral
UUGUAUUAAUUCACCUGCAUCUAAUACAUAACAAGUCGUUUACAAAAUAACGCAUACGACCCUAUAACUGCGGAGUUCAAUAAUAUUCUGAUAAUAGGGUAAUUAGCACAUCCAAAUUUAAAUAACAAAAAUAUAAAGUUUACAUUUAUAACUCUGCGGAGAAGAUUGCAGAGCUUCCGUUGGGGCAGAAACUUCCUACUACCUGAGAAGUUUGGGAGAAAGGAGUGAGUUUUGCAACUCAGUGAAUAAUAAUAAAUAAUACACGUCGCAUACAGUCACACAAAAUGCGCCCUAUUAAACUGAAUGAUCACACACAAUCAAUCAUAUGGCAUAACAUCAGCACCCACAAACAAUAUCACCUUCAAAUAAUCACCUCACGUGGAAAUUGGUCAGUGGCGUCACCUAAACCCCCGACGAGCCGUCCUCUCAAACAGCCCAUCCUCUCAAACAUGUGCACCCCGGGGAGCCAAUCCCCCAUAUCUGGCCGACCGGUCUAAUCCUCACUUGACCAGCCCUCUCAAUAUCUUAUUUUGCAUUCUCUCUUUUCUUUCCAAUAUUAUCAACAACAUUUCAGCAGUUCAUCAGGUGCACACGGGGGCGCCGAUCUCCCAUUUACCCGGCCGACGGUCCAAUUUNNN